GAUGAACGCUAGCUACAGGCUUAACACAUGCAAGUCGAGGGGCAUCAGGAAGAAAGCUUGCUUUCUUUGCUGGCGACCGGCGCACGGGUGAGUAACACGUAUCCAACCUGCCCUUUACUCGGGGAUAGCCUUUCGAAAGAAAGAUUAAUACCCGAUAGCAUAAUGAUUCCGCAUGGUUUCAUUAUUAAAGGAUUCCGGUAAAGGAUGGGGAUGCGUUCCAUUAGGUUGUUGGUGAGGUAACGGCUCACCAAGCCUUCGAUGGAUAGGGGUUCUGAGAGGAAGGUCCCCCACAUUGGAACUGAGACACGGUCCAAACUCCUACGGGAGGCAGCAGUGAGGAAUAUUGGUCAAUGGGCGCUAGCCUGAACCAGCCAAGUAGCGUGAAGGAUGAAGGCUCUAUGGGUCGUAAACUUCUUUUAUAUAAGAAUAAAGUGCAGUAUGUAUACUGUUUUGUAUGUAUUAUAUGAAUAAGGAUCGGCUAACUCCGUGCCAGCAGCCGCGGUAAUACGGAGGAUCCGAGCGUUAUCCGGAUUUAUUGGGUUUAAAGGGAGCGUAGGUGGACUGGUAAGUCAGUUGUGAAAGUUUGCGGCUCAACCGUAAAAUUGCAGUUGAUACUGUCAGUCUUGAGUACAGUAGAGGUGGGCGGAAUUCGUGGUGUAGCGGUGAAAUGCUUAGAUAUCACGAAGAACUCCGAUUGCGAAGGCAGCUCACUGGACUGCAACUGACACUGAUGCUCGAAAGUGUGGGUAUCAAACCAGG
Molecule: ribosomal RNA, 759 nt
Filed under: uncultured bacterium
Lineage: Bacteria
Description: bacterial SSU rRNA
Rfam family: Bacterial small subunit ribosomal RNA
Source: RNAcentral